Molecule: small nucleolar RNA, 127 nt
Organism: Balaenoptera ricei (Rice's whale)
Lineage: Eukaryota; Metazoa; Chordata; Mammalia; Artiodactyla; Balaenopteridae
Product: small nucleolar RNA SNORA77
Exons: 1
Source: RefSeq, a predicted model, not a curated record
GCAGACUCACUCUGCACCUGGCUGCAGCCCCAGGCAGGUGCUUUUUCCGUCUGCCACAGCAGCAUUCCGGGGGGGCUGUGACCACUUUGACCUGUCAAGGGCAACGCAGCCACCCCGGUACACAGAA